RNAcentral lists this ribosomal RNA (460 nucleotides) under uncultured bacterium. Its description in RNAcentral is "partial 16S ribosomal RNA". It matches the Rfam family "Bacterial small subunit ribosomal RNA", at positions 338 to 795 of the family's 1533-position model. The record is from RNAcentral.
CCUACGGGUGGCAGCAGUGAGGAAUAUUGGUCAAUGGACGAGAGUCUGAACCAGCCAAGUAGCGUGAAGGAUGACUGCCCUAUGGGUUGUAAACUUCUUUUAUAUGGGAAUAAAAUGUUCCACGUGUGUGAUUUUGUAUGUACCAUAUGAAUAAGGAUCGGCUAACUCCGUGCCAGCAGCCGCGGUAAUACGGAGGAUCCGAGGGUUAUCCGGAUUUAUUGGGUUUAAAGGGAGCGUAGGUGGAUUGUUAAGUCAGUUGUGAAAGUUUGCGGCUCAACCGUAAAAUUGCAGUUGAAACUGGCAGUCUUGAGUACAGUAGAGGUGGGCGGAAUUCGUGGUGGAGCGGUGAAAUGCUUAGAUAUCACGAAGAACUCCGAUUGCGAAGGCAGUUCACUGGACUGCAACUGACACUGAGGCUCGAAAGUGUGGGUAUCAAACAGGAUUAGAUACCCGGGUAGUC